This 1242-nucleotide long non-coding RNA is filed under the name Chinchilla lanigera (long-tailed chinchilla). Its description in RNAcentral is "lncRNA (ENSCLAG00000026187.1)". The record is from RNAcentral. Lineage: Eukaryota; Metazoa; Chordata; Mammalia; Rodentia; Chinchillidae.
UGGAGAAUGUCAUAGGUAAGAGCAGACAGAAAUAGACUUAUUUCAGAAUAACUGGUUCCAGUCUAUUCAGCUAUGUAUGCCUAAAUUAAUCGCUCCGUGCCAUGGGAGUCUUAUAUGUAACCCAGAACUAGGUCACAUGCCUAAACGUCUUAACAGCCUAGUAUGUUUAAAAUAGUGUAAGUGUGGGAAAGUUGAGGGCACUAAAUAUGUUAGAUAUCAUCAUCAGAAACUAAAAAUACAAUUAAUUUUAGGUACAUCAUUAGACUCUGUACAAUCUAUUUUUUGCUGAAUUUUAAUAUUUAGUGCUUUCUAGCUUUGUAGUUAGUGCACUGGUUUUCCAGAAUGAUAGUUUACUGGAGUAUUAUUUUUGUUUUAAAGUAAAAUUCUGACACUUCAUACAUUUGUGGAUGACAGACUGUUCCCAAGCUAACCAUGACUUAUUUAAAAUGGAAUUGUACUUGUAUCAAGUGGUCUCAGUGCUUCCCUGCAUAAAGUGUUUUCCCAUUGUUUUUAGUUUUCGGCACUUUCAGAGAGGCAUCUUGUUGACCACGCGGUCUCAUCCCAACGUGGACCCUGAUUUCUGUGUAGGUGCGCCAACGCCCUCUGCUGGUCAAACUGCAGCAGAUAUUAACUGAAAGAUUUGUGAUUCCUUAUGACUAUCUUCACUUCUGACAUCAACUACAAGUUCAAGGACAUCAGUCUCAGAACUCAGAAAAAUCAUAAUAUUCCAUGACAGAUGAUUUCAGCAAAAGCUACAGAAACAUAAGGCAAGUCCAGGAGACAUGAACGUGUGGAAUUUGAAUUUUUCUUCUGCCAGUGGAGCAGUGCAGACAGUGCAUAUUCCUCAGAAAUGACGUGUGGAUAUCCAAUUUUCCUAGCUCCGCUUAUUAAAGAGGCUAGGUUUCCUCCAGUGUGUUUCUGACCCUUUGGCCUAUUAUCAAGUAGCUGUAUAUGCCUGGGGUUGUUUCUGCUUCUUCAUAUUUUUCCAUUGAUCCCCUUGCCUGUUUUCAUGCCAGUACCAUGCUAUUUUAAUCAGCAUAGCUUUACAGGACAGUAGAACUUCAAGACUGGAAUUCUGAUGUCACUAGCUUUGCAUUUGUUACCCAGGAUUGUUUUUCAUAUUGUGGGUCUCUUGUUUCACAUGAAUUUUAAGACUGUUUUUUCUAGAUCUGUGAGAAGGCCAUUGGUAUUUUUUUUUCUCUUAGAUCAGGGUUGCAUUAAAUCUGUAUGUCAGUUUCAGAA